CUGGAUAGGAGGGCCUCGAUCCC
This 23-nucleotide transfer RNA is filed under the name Crotaphytus collaris. RNAcentral's name for it is "partial tRNA-Asx". Lineage: Eukaryota; Metazoa; Chordata; Lepidosauria; Squamata; Crotaphytidae. The record is from RNAcentral.